UACGUAGGGGGCAAGCGUUGUCCGGAUUCAUUGGGCGUAAAGAGCUCGUAGGCGGUUCAGUAAGUCGGGUGUGAAAUCUCCGUGCUCAACACGGAGCGGCCACCUGAUACUGCUGUGACUCGAGUCCGGUAGGGGAGUGUGGAAUUCCCGGUGUAGCGGUGAAAUGCGCAGAUAUCGGGAGGAACACCGGUGGCGAAGGCGGAUCUCUGGGCCUUACCUGACGCUGAGGCGCGAAAGCUAGGGGAGCGAACAGG
Molecule: ribosomal RNA, 254 nt
Filed under: uncultured bacterium
Lineage: Bacteria
Description: partial 16S ribosomal RNA
Rfam family: Bacterial small subunit ribosomal RNA
Source: RNAcentral